UGGGGAAUAUUGGGCAAUGGGCGAAAGCCUGACCCAGCAACGCCGCGUGAAGGAUGAAGGUCUUCGGAUUGUAAACUUCUUUGAUUAGGGAAGAAUUUUUGACCUACCUAAAGAACAAGUCACGGCUAACUACGUGCCAGCAGCCGCGGUAAUACGUAGGUGACAAGCGUUAUCCGGAUUUACUGGGUGUAAAGGGCGUGUAGGCGGUUUUGCAAGUCAGAUGUGAAAUUCCCAGGCUUAACCUGGGCGCUGCAUCUGAAACUGCAAGACUUGAGUACUGGAGAGGAUAGUGGAAUUCCUAGUGUAGCGGUAAAAUGCGCAGAUAUUAGGAGGAACACCGGUGGCGAAGGCGACUAUCUGGACAGUAACUGACGCUGAGGCGCGAAAGCGUGGGGAGCAA
RNAcentral lists this ribosomal RNA (400 nucleotides) under uncultured bacterium. Its description in RNAcentral is "bacterial SSU rRNA". It matches the Rfam family "Bacterial small subunit ribosomal RNA", at positions 355 to 771 of the family's 1533-position model. The record is from RNAcentral.